Molecule: ribosomal RNA, 1264 nt
Filed under: Peridiniella sp. NC-2011
Lineage: Eukaryota; Dinophyceae; Peridiniales
Description: LSU rRNA
Rfam family: Eukaryotic large subunit ribosomal RNA
Source: RNAcentral
UACCCGCUGAAUUUAAGCAUAUAAGUAAGCGGAGGAUAAGAAACUAAAUAGGAUUCCCUCAGUAAUGGCGAAUGAACAGGGAUAAGCUCAGCAUGGAAAUUGGGGCCUCUGGCCUUGAAUUGUAGUCUCGAGAUGUACCGCCAACGGAGGCGCAGAUGUAAGCCUCUUGGAAAAGAGCAUCAACGAGGGUGAGAGUCCCGUUUGUCAUCUGCAGUCCCCCGUGUACGGUGUACCUUCUAAGAGUCGCGUUCCUCGGGAUUGGAGCGUAAAGUGGGUGGUAAAUUUCAUCUAAAGCUAAAUAUUGGUUCGAGACCGAUAGCAAACAAGUACCAUGAGGGAAAGGUGAAAAGGACUUUGAAAAGAGAGUUAAAAGUGCCUGAAAUUGCUGAAAGGAAAGCGAAUGGAACCAGUCUUCUUGGCGAGAUUGUUGCGGGCUUCCGCCCGUAGUGUUUCUUGCCUUGAUUGUCAACGUCAGUUCACAAUCGAGGAAAACUCCGAGGACGUGGUAGUUUGCCCCUGGGUGAGCGAAUGUGCUCGGCAGAACUCAUUUGUGUACUGAUCCCUGCGUGUCUGGUUGCAGUGCUCUGCGUCCCCGUGUGUUGGUGCUUGCGCCUUCUCUGGGCGACCAGUGCAUCUCCCUGACACAAAGACGAUGACUAAAUGGUUCUAUUCGACCCGUCUUGAAACACGGACCAAGGAGUCUAACAUAUGUGCGAGUUCACGGGCGGGUAAACCUGCUUGCGCAAUGAAAGUGACUGCUGGGAUAUUUGCACCAGCAACCGACCGAUCAAUUGAGAGAGGUUUGAGUAUGAGCAUAUCUGUUAGGACCCGAAAGAUGGUGAACUAUGCCUGAGAAGGGUAAACUCAGGGGAAACUCUGAUGGAGGCUCGUAGCGAUACUGACGUGCAAAUCGUUCGUCAUACUUGGGUAUAGGGGCGAAAGACUAAUCGAACCAUCUAGUAGCUGGUUCCCUCCGAAGUUUCCCUCAGGAUAGCUGGAGUUGAACAGUUUUAUCAGGUAAAGCGAAUGAUUAGAGGAAUCGGGGACGCGUUGUCCUCGACCUAUUCUCAAACUUUAAAUGGGUAAGAUCCAGUGGUUACUUGGGUGAACUUCUGGGAUAAAUGACAACUCUAAGUGGGCCAUUUUUGGUAAGCAGAACUGGCGAUGAGGGAUGAACCUAACGUUGGGUUAAGGUGCUUAACUGCUCGCUCAUCAGAUACCAUAAAGGGUGUUGGUUCAUUUUAACAGCAGGACGGUGGUCAUG